Molecule: ribosomal RNA, 432 nt
Filed under: uncultured bacterium
Lineage: Bacteria
Description: partial 16S ribosomal RNA
Rfam family: Bacterial small subunit ribosomal RNA
Source: RNAcentral
AACGAACGCUGGCGGCAUGCCUAACACAUGCAAGUCGAACGAGACCUUCGGGUCUAGUGGCGCACGGGUGCGUAACGCGUGGGAACCUGCCCUUAGGUUCGGAAUAACUCCCCGAAAGGGGUGCUAAUACCGGAUAAUGUCUUCGGACCAAAGAUUUAUCGCCUUUGGAUGGGCCCGCGUUGGAUUAGCUAGUUGGUAGGGUAAAAGCCUACCAAGGCGACGAUCCAUAGCUGGUCUGAGAGGAUGAUCAGCCACACUGGGACUGAGACACGGCCAAGACUCCUACGGGAGGCAGCAGUGGGGAAUAUUGGACAAUGGGCGAAAGCCUGAUCCAGCAAUGCCGCGUGAGUGAUGAAGGCCUUAGGGUUGUAAAGCUCUUUUACCCGGGAUGAUAAUGACAGUACCGGGAGAAUAAGCUCCGGCUAACUCCGU